This 384-nucleotide ribosomal RNA is filed under the name uncultured bacterium. RNAcentral describes it as "bacterial SSU rRNA". It matches the Rfam family "Bacterial small subunit ribosomal RNA", at positions 1 to 373 of the family's 1533-position model. The record is from RNAcentral.
AAUUCGAUUGAGUUUGAUCCUGGCUCAGAACGAACGCUGGCGGCGCGCUUAACACAUGCAAGUCGAACGAGAAGCUGUAGCAAUACAGUUGUAAAGUGGCAAACGGGUGAGUAAUGCGUGGGUAAUCUACCCUCGGGUGGGGAAUAACUCCUCGAAAGGGGAGCUAAUGCCGACUAUUCGCAACGGUUUCGCAAGGUACCGUUGGAAAGCCGUACCGUGGGUGCGGCGCCCGAAGAUGAGCUCACGUCCUAUCAGCUUGUUGGUGAGGUAAUGGCUCACCAAGGCUCCGACGGGUAGCUGGUCUGAGAGGACGACCAGCCACACUGGCACUGCGACACGGGCCAGACUCCUACGGGAGGCAGCAGUGAGGAAUAUUGCGCAAUG